This 475-nucleotide ribosomal RNA is filed under the name Cryptosporidium sp. RNAcentral's name for it is "SSU rRNA". It matches the Rfam family "Eukaryotic small subunit ribosomal RNA", at positions 514 to 1024 of the family's 1831-position model. Lineage: Eukaryota; Apicomplexa; Conoidasida; Eucoccidiorida; Cryptosporidiidae. The record is from RNAcentral.
AUGAGUUAAGUAUAAACCCCUUAACAAGUAUCAAUUGGAGGGCAAGUCUGGUGCCAGCAGCCGCGGUAAUUCCAGCUCCAAUAGCGUAUAUUAAAGUUGUUGCAGUUAAAAAGCUCGUAGUUGGAUUUCUGUUAAUGAUUGCAUGUGCUAUCAUCGAUACGCGUGCGGCGUUAGCAUCAUUCGCAUUACUUUCUGGUAUGCGGAACUUUACUUUGAGAAAAUUAGAGUGCUUAAAGCAGGCUUUUGCCUUGAAUACUCCAGCAUGGAAUAAUAUGAAGGAUUUUUAUCUUUCUUAUUGGUUCUAAGAUAAAAAUAAUGGUUAAUAGGGACAGUUGGGGGCAUUUGUAUUUAACAGUCAGAGGUGAAAUUCUUAGAUUUGUUAAAGACAAACUAGUGCGAAAGCAUUUGCCAAGGAUGUUCUCAUUAAUCAAGAACGAAAGUUAGGGGAUCGAAGACGAUCAGAUACCGUCGUAGU